Piliocolobus tephrosceles (Ugandan red Colobus) is the source of this 3499-nucleotide RNA transcript. It is a transcript of the gene named leucine rich repeat and sterile alpha motif containing 1, with no coding region annotated. The transcript is spliced from 25 exons. The record is from RefSeq and is a predicted model, not a curated record. Lineage: Eukaryota; Metazoa; Chordata; Mammalia; Primates; Cercopithecidae.
AGAGACGCUUUUGUAGCCAUGUUUGUUGUGGGCAGGCGCCUGAGGCUGACGGCUGGCGAGCUGGGCACCGCGGUGCGCUGAAGCUAGAGAUUCCGAAAGGGAGAUCGGGCAGUUCGCUCCGGAGACGUCUGAGAAGAGGGGUUGCUCCCGUGAUCCUAGGCCUAGCUGUUUCCCAUAUUCCUUUAUCCACCUGCGUUUGAAGGAGACCAGACUCCGGCUCCGCCCGGCCCUGUGCCGGGUGGUCUGCGGCCCCGAGUCCUUGACCAAGCCCUCCGAGUGAUCAGCCUGCCCUCGGGUGCACCCGCGGUUCCCAACGUGGGGGACCCCCCCAUCUGCAAAGCCAGUGUCCUCAAGAUCGCUCUGGGAAAAGGGAAGGAUGCCACUCUUCUUCCGGAAGCGGAAACCCAGUGAGGAGGCUCGGAAACGCCUGGAGUACCAGAUGUGUUUGGCAAAAGAAGCUGGGGCAGAUGACAUUCUCGACAUCUCUAAAUGUGAGCUCUCAGAGAUUCCAUUUGGAGCUUUUGCAACAUGCAAAGUUCUGCAGAAGAAGGUGCUGAUCGUCCACACGAAUCACCUCACUUCCCUGCUUCCCAAAUCCUGCAGCCUCCUGAGUCUGGCAACCAUCAAGGUUCUAGAUCUCCACGAUAAUCAGCUGACAGCCCUUCCUGACGAUCUGGGGCAGCUGACUGCCCUCCAGGUCUUAAACGUGGAAAGGAAUCAACUGAUGCAGCUCCCGCGUUCCAUUGGGAACCUGACCCAGCUCCAGACUCUCAAUGUUAAAGACAACAAGCUGAAGGAGCUUCCAGACACCCUGGGGGAGCUUCGAAGCCUGCGUACCCUCAACAUCAGUGGAAACGAGAUCCAGAGGUUGCCGCAGAUGCUGGCUCACGUUCGAACCCUGGAGAUGCUGAGCCUCGACGCCUCGGCCAUGGUCUACCCACCGCGGGAGGUGUGUGGUGCCGGCACCGCGGCCAUCCUGCAGUUCCUCUGCAAAGAGUCAGGGCUGGAAUACUACCCCCCUUCUCAGUACUUGCUGCCUGUUCUGGAGCAAGAUGGAACCGAGAACUCUCGGGACAGCCCCGAUGGGCCCACGGACAGAUUCUCAAGGGAGGAAUUAGAGUGGCAGAACAGGUUCUCAGACUAUGAGAAGAGGAAGGAACAGAAGAUGCUGGAGAAACUCGAGUUCGAACGGCGCCUGGAACUGGGGCAGCGGGAGCACGCCCAGCUCCUUCAGCAGAGCAGCAGCCAGAAGGAUGAGAUCCUUCAGACAGUCAAGGAGGAGCAGUCCCGGCUGGAGCAGGGCCUGAGUGAGCGCCAGCGCCACCUCGACGCAGAGCGGCAGCGGCUGCAGGAGCAGCUGAAGCAGACAGAACAGAACAUCUCCAGCCGGAUCCAGAAGCUGCUGCAGGAGAAUCAGAGACAAAAGAAAAGCUCCGAGAUUUUGAAAUCGCUGGAAAAUGAAAGAAUAAGAAUGGAACAGUUGAUGUCCAUAACCCAGGAGGAGACUGAGAACCUGCGGCGACGUGAGGUUGCCUCCGCCAUGCAGCAGAUGCUGACUGAGAGCUGUAAGAACCGGCUCAUCCAGAUGGCCUAUGAAUCUCAGAGGCAGAACUUGGUCCAGCAGGCCUGUUCCAGCAUGGCCGAAAUGGAUGAACGAUUCCAGCAGAUUCUGUCGUGGCAGCAAAUGGAUCAGAACAAAGCCAUCAGCCAGAUCCUGCAGGAGAGUGCGAUGCAGAAGGCUGCGUUCGAGGCACUUCAAGUGAAGAAAGACCUGAUGCAUCGGCAGAUCAGGAGCCAGAUUAAGUUAAUAGAAACUGAGUUAUUGCAGCUGACACAGCUGGAGUUAAAGAGGAAGUCCCUGGACACAGAGACACUCCAGGAGAUGAUCUCGGAGCAGCGCUGGGCCCUCAGCUCCCUGCUCCAGCAGCUGCUCAAAGAGAAGCAGCAGCGAGAGGAAGAGCUCCGGGAAAUCCUGACGGAGUUAGAAGCCAAAAGUGAAACGAGGCAGGAAAAUUACUGGCUGAUUCAGUAUCAACGGCUUUUGAACCAGAAGCCCUUGUCCUUGAAGCUGCAAGAAGACGGCAUGGAGCGCCAGCUGGUGGCCCUCCUAGAGGAGCUGUCGGCUGAGCACUACCUGCCCAUCUUUGCGCACCACCGCCUCUCACUGGACCUGCUGAGCCAAAUGAGCCCCGGGGACCUGGCCAAGGUGGGCGUCUCAGAAGCUGGCCUGCAGCAUGAGAUCCUCCGGAGAGUCCAGGAACUGCUGGAUGCAGCCAGGAUCCAGCCAGGUACCAGCACAGUUCUGGCCUCUUCCGGACAGGGCGCCCAGCCGUAUGUGUGGGCUCUGGUGGGGACAGUCAUUUGCUUACAUUUCAGGAUGAGUCCUGAGGGCUGGUUCUAGCCCCUGCUGGUCGGUAAGGUUCCCUCCCAAGGACCAGGCUUAGGGAUCAGUGAGCCCGUUUUACAGAUGGGAAAAACUGGCCACCAAAUUGGGAGAACAGGAGACCUCCACAUAGCAGUGGAGGGGCCCUCCCAGCUCCCUGUCCCAUAGCCUUCCCUCAGUUCACCCUACAGAUGCUGGGAUCCACACACUGAGGGACUUUGGACUAGAGGGAGAAAUAGCCCGUCCCAGGGCCUGCAGUGUGCCCAGUGCUGGGCCUGAGGCACACCUGUGGAUGUGGAGCGAUGUCCACAACAGGCUGUGAAGGGGCGAAGGCAGGUCGUGAGGGCCAUGGGGAGAACGGGCAGGUGUGGAGUCUGGGGUCUGCCAUGUGCUGAGCAUGACCCGGGGGCCCGGCACCUGCUCACUGCUGUGCAUGAACCACGUUGCGGAACCUCCGGAUCAACCCCGCGAGGAGGCACUGUUGUGGUCCUCAUUUUCAAGAUGAGGAAACUGAAGUGGAGAGAGGUUAGCAUGUCCCCCGUCAGGUCCCACUGCUGGCAAAUGGUGGAACCACUGGGCUUGACUGCCUCCCUGGGGAAGAGGUGGGGGGCCAGAGCAGGGGUGAAGGAGAGGGCAGGCUUGUGCUGCUGGGCUAGGCGAGGCUCUGGGCAGGGCAUUUUUAGCCAGAGCCAAGGAAGAGGCAAAGGAGCUGAGGCAAAGGUGGCGUUCUGGACUGGACCUCAGUGGGGAGGCCCCGGGGCUCCAGGGGGCUGGGCUGACUGCAGCUCCAGGAUAGCUUCAGGCACCAGUUUUGCAGCCACUUUUACUCCAGGGACAUUGACUCAACCCCCAAAAAGUCAUUAAACUUCUUAUGUGCAGAAUAGACCCCUGCUGGAUGUUCCUGACCCUCCAGCUCUCAGACUGGAGAUCAGAAGAGAUUUCCAUCAGGAGUUGGGGUCACCCCUGGCAGACAAGCCUCACAGCUGAAACCACCAACAGGUGAGGUCCUCACCCCUACAGCCCCCCAGGAGCCUCCUGAGUCUGUGAGGCCAUCCGCUCCCCCUGCAGAGCUGGAGGUGCAGGCCUCAGAGUGUGUCGUGUGCCUGGAACGGGAGG